ACGAUUGUGAUGAAAUUGGUAGACAUAGUACACUUAAGCUGUUCGGGCUUAUGCCGUGUGGGUUCGAAUCCCUCCAAUCGUA
This is a non-coding RNA of Candida albicans SC5314, 82 nucleotides long. NCBI's taxonomy places the organism in Eukaryota, Fungi, Ascomycota, Pichiomycetes, Serinales, Debaryomycetaceae. The record is from Rfam.